Non-coding RNA from Cinara cedri, 322 nucleotides. The record is from the annotation of a GenBank genome assembly. NCBI's taxonomy places the organism in Eukaryota, Metazoa, Arthropoda, Insecta, Hemiptera, Aphididae.
AUUAUAUUAACUUCGAAGAAUCUUGUUUAUGUAUUAUAUUUUAAUCCUUUGUGAUUUUAUGAAUUUAACACAAUUGCUCUUGAGAAGACGUCAUAUAAACGCACAGCAUAACAAAUUUUCAUUCAACAAAAACAAAUCUGUGUGGUUAGUUUUAAUAUUGGAGUAAAUUGACCCACUAUAAAACUUAAUGAUUAAUGUCGUGCCCAGUGUUUAUUUUAGGGGGUAACUGGGAGGUAGGUAUUGCCCACCAACAGAAAAAUAUUUACCACCCCCUGAAAAUAUAUAGCAUUACUACGUAAACUACAUGUGAAAGAAGUUAUAG